UGCCGAAACCCGGGAUCGAACCAGGGACCUUUAGAUCUUCAGUCUAACUCUCUCCCAACUGAGUUAUAUCGGC
Molecule: transfer RNA, 73 nt
Filed under: Cordylochernes scorpioides
Lineage: Eukaryota; Metazoa; Arthropoda; Arachnida; Pseudoscorpiones; Chernetidae
Description: tRNA-Phe
Source: RNAcentral